Molecule: transfer RNA, 72 nt
Filed under: Deltaproteobacteria bacterium
Lineage: Bacteria; Pseudomonadati; Myxococcota; Myxococcia
Also listed under: 1 other name
Description: tRNA-Arg
Rfam family: tRNA
About the family: Transfer RNA (tRNA) molecules are approximately 80 nucleotides in length.
Source: RNAcentral
GGUCCCAUAGUUAAACGGAUAUAACCCAGCAUUCCUAAUGCUGAAUUAGUGGUUCGAUUCCACUUGGGACUG